This is a long non-coding RNA of Phragmites australis (common reed), 1771 nucleotides long. RefSeq lists it as uncharacterized. The transcript is spliced from 3 exons. The record is from RefSeq and is a predicted model, not a curated record. Lineage: Eukaryota; Viridiplantae; Streptophyta; Magnoliopsida; Poales; Poaceae.
GCCCUCCUUGAUGGGUAUGCUACCAGCAGAACCAUAUUGAAGACGCUGAGCUAGUAGGAUAGCGCUCGCAGAUCUGGCCGCCUGCCGUCGGCUUCGUCCCUAAUUCGGGCAAGACGACGAUGAAGAGUUUGUGUAACGGGGUUUGAUUCCAUCCCUCUCUAUAUCUCUCUUCUCGUGUCGAGUUCUUGCUGCGUCUGCUUGGCACUUUGCAGGUGGUCGACGACGCGACGGGACGGGGCGUGGUGGUGAACUGGUGAUGGUGGUGUGGCUGACAGAAGAGAGUGAGCACGCAGCGGCCAGACUGGAUCUAAAUACGGCUGCUUCUGGAGAGAUAAAGACGAUGGAUAGAUGAAUGCCUAGACGCAGCUGCUGUUGCGUGCUCACUUCUCUUUCUGUCAGCUCUCUCGCUCCCUCCUUGGCACUUGCUUCGCCACAUCCAGCUCCCCGACCGUCUCCGUCGCUUCUCACCAAUCGCGUCGUGCAGCCGUUCUUGCAUCGAUCUCCGAGAUGCACUGUUCGUUUUGCUGCGCCGGCCUGGCCGUGUCCCCACCUGAAACCUUAUCUUGUCUCCCACACGGAUUCCGAUGGCCUGCUCUGUGGAACAAGUACUCUUAAAUUUUAUGGCAGCCGCUGCGCGCAUGCAGGCAUGGAUUCUCGCGCUGGGCAAUUUCUCUACGUUUCUUUUCUCGGCGAUCUCCUCGUUGCCAUCUCUGUGCCUUCCGAUGAUGGAUUAUUAGCAGGGCCUUCAGCCUUGGGGGAAGAGGACGCGUGAUGGAUUAACACAGCUCUUUGGUCGCCUUCCCAGAUGUGCUUAACGGAAAGCACUGUUUGACUAGUCCUUGCUACCCUUCUCCCUUUCCUUUACUCUCUCUCUCACUUAUCGAGUGCUCUCUCCUCUCCUUUUUUUGCAAAGAUCUCACAGCAAAAAUUGCAUCUUUCUCCCUUUUGUUUUGCUCAUCUCAUGUGGGGCUCUGAGUGUCAUGAGGUUGGUGGGAGGCAGCCAUGGCGUUAGUGGUUGGAGGCAGAUCUGCUUGGUUGCAAGUGGAAAGGAGGCUACCGGCGGCGGCGCCUUCCAGAUCUGUAAAUGUUUCUUCUCCGGCGCCUUCUUUCACCUGUUUGACGUUGCGGAUGAAAUAUCUCCAAGUUUCCGGCAUCAGUUGGUAUACACAAAGCUUGUUGAAUUUGUUCAUCAUUUCAUGAAAGUGUGAUCUCAGCGAACCAGCUACUACUGCAGAGUUCAGCGCAGGUGUGCUUGCAACACAGCCAUCUGUCCUGGCAUACAAUAUGAGAGCUAUUCCAAUUCUCAUUACUCAAAGAGAUGAGCUGAUUCGUGGCGUACAAAGCUUACUGCAGUCCAUGUAUCAAGUGCUAGCUCAACAUCAACCUCCAUCAGCCCCCCUUGCUGGUCGUCUGAUGCUAUUACCGGAGGAAGAUCAACUAGAUGCUGACCAGGAAGAUGAUGAAGAGGGAAACUGAAGAACUGCGGGUUGCUUUCCAAAUUUCUCUUGAGAAUCUUUUGGUCUUUGCAGGAUGGUUUUGAGAAACUUGUAGCGCCCUUAGCUUUUGUCUGGUCUCGGUUAUGUUUUGUCCUUUAGCGUCCCUUAGCUUUUGAGAAUCCAAGGUAAUGGUUCUAUGCUCCUAUUACACUGCCACCUGUGUCGGUGUAAGAUCAUAUUGCUGUGAAUUCUGUUAAAAUCCUUAAUGGAAAUGGGAUUUCCCCGGUUCGAAAAAUAGUCAGGAACCACUUUUGUAAAGACGUUAUCACUGGUAC